Nothobranchius furzeri (turquoise killifish) is the source of this 1041-nucleotide non-coding RNA. Lineage: Eukaryota; Metazoa; Chordata; Actinopteri; Cyprinodontiformes; Nothobranchiidae. The record is from RefSeq and is a predicted model, not a curated record.
GUCCCCCCCCCCCCACUUUUUCCAAAGUCAAGUUUUGACCCCUGCACUUUUUACCAUCCAAAAACAAUAUUACGCUAUAUUAAAUUGACACUGGUUGAGCUCUAGGACCAAGCGGAAAACAACCGUUUGUGUUGAAGCCUGUUUCCCAUUAGAGCAUACUGUAAAGAUACAACCCCCCCACCCACCCACCCCCGUGUCCCCCCCACUUCUAAAGUGAAAAUUACGUCCAUGCCUAGAACUGAAGGACAGGAGGAGAAUGGUGAAGUAGAGGAACGAGCUGACACUGAUACCCAUGUUAGGAGGUCUGAGCGGGGUCGCCAACCACCAAUGAGGCUCAACUACACUGAAUUGGGGAACCCAAUUGUCACCGUGGUAAAGUCCUUCUUCCAAGGGUUGACCGAUGCGUGGAAUGACAUGGUAAAUGAAGGUGAAGCACAUGCUUCUACUCUUGCCUUUACCCCCAAGAGACAUUUGUGUGAACCUUGUCAUGCACAGGGACGUGCAAGAGUUCAGGAGGGGAGAGUGUAAUCCACAUCAGAAUUGUGGUUUGUGCUGCGGCAUAUGGUUGAAGGUGUGAUUUCCCUCUCCGCCACUAGGAGGCGAGUAUGCCUUGAGAUGACUUCCUGUUAGUCAACAUUUCCUGUUGUGAAAGCCGUUACUCACGAGGCAACCGCCAGAUUAACUGAAAGAUCCUGGAUCUGAAUUCUGUGAAAUACGGCCGUGGGAAGCUGCGUCAGCCGGGCGAGCUAUCUCACCACGAGCUCCGAUUGUUUUUUUGACCAGGACCGGAUCAUUUGAGAUCUGAACCUUGUGGGUUCAGUGGCGAGCCAGUUCCAAGAGAGUGACUGUAGACGGACCAGAGUACGGUGUGGCCAGCCGUGGGAUCCAUCUUCAGCGAGCCCCAGGACUAUCACUACAUCCCUUGACACAGAUAAGACUGACAUUUUAAAAAAAAAUCUACCCAGGUAGUGUUAGAACCACUGGACAGAAACACACACACACACACACACACACACACACACACACACACACACACACACA